This 620-nucleotide ribosomal RNA is filed under the name uncultured Verrucomicrobiota bacterium. Its description in RNAcentral is "bacterial SSU rRNA". It matches the Rfam family "Bacterial small subunit ribosomal RNA", at positions 77 to 680 of the family's 1533-position model. The record is from RNAcentral. Lineage: Bacteria; Pseudomonadati; Verrucomicrobiota.
UAGCAAUACGAUGGAAAGUUUAGUGGCGAACGGGUGCUUAACACGUGGGCAACCUGCCAGGAAGUGGGGGAUAGCUCGCCGAAAGGCGAAUUAAUACCGCAUGUGAUUAGAGAGGACAUCCUUUCGAAAUUAAAGUCGGGGCAACCUGACGCUUCUUGUGGGGCCCGCGGCCUAUCAGCUAGUUGGUGAGGUAACGGCUCACCAAGGCUUUGACGGGUAGCUGGUCUGAGAGGACGACCAGCCACACUGGGACUGAGACACGGCCCAGACACCUACGGGUGGCAGCAGUCGAGAAUUUUUGACAAUGGGGGAAACCCUGAUCGAGCGACGCCGCGUGGAGGAUGAAGGUCUUCGGAUUGUAAACUCCUGUCAUUGGGGAACAAUGCAUAAAUAUUAACUGUAUUUGUGUUGAUAGUACCCGAAGAGGAAGAGACGGCUAACUCUGUGCCAGCAGCCGCGGUAAUACAGAGGUCUCAAGCGUUGUUCGGAUUCAUUGGGCGUAAAGGGUGCGUAGGCGGCGCGGUAAGUCGGGUGUGAAAUCUCGGAGCUUAACUCCGAAACUGCAUUCGAUACUGCCGUGCUUGAGGACUGGAGAGGAGACUGGAAUUCACGGUGUAGCA